Cynara cardunculus var. scolymus (artichoke) is the source of this 78-nucleotide small nucleolar RNA. RefSeq annotates it as small nucleolar RNA snoR8a. The transcript has a single exon. NCBI's taxonomy places the organism in Eukaryota, Viridiplantae, Streptophyta, Magnoliopsida, Asterales, Asteraceae. The record is from RefSeq and is a predicted model, not a curated record.
UGAGUUGCAGUGAUUAUAAACAAUUCCUCGUACUGAAUGGCAUGAUAGACAUCUUUCACCCAUAGAAUAUGAGCAACU